RNAcentral lists this ribosomal RNA (709 nucleotides) under Biemna sp. CC49. RNAcentral's name for it is "eukaryotic LSU rRNA". It matches the Rfam family "Eukaryotic large subunit ribosomal RNA", at positions 649 to 1331 of the family's 3401-position model. The record is from RNAcentral. Lineage: Eukaryota; Metazoa; Porifera; Demospongiae; Biemnida; Biemnidae.
CCGUCUUGAAACACGGACCAAGGAGUGUAGCAUGCGCGCGAGUGUUCGGGGUGGGAGCCCCCGGAGCGUAAUGAAGGUGAAGGCGGUCUCUACGAUCGCCGAGGCGCGGGCCCGUCUCUGGCGGGCGCAGCGUCGACCGAUUCCGACCCACGCCGUGGCGGGAUUCGAGUUGGAGCGUGCAUGUUGCGACCCGAAAGAUGGUGAACUAUGCCCGAGUAGGGCGAAGCCAGAGGAAACUCUGGUGGAGGCUCGCAGCGGUUCUGACGUGCAAAUCGAUCGUCAAACUUGGGUAUAGGGGCGAAAGACUAAUCGAACCAUCUAGUAGCUGGUUCCCUCCGAAGUUUCCCUCAGGAUAGCUGGAACCCGUGUGUGCAGUUUUAUCAGGUCAAGCGAAUGAUUAGAGGUCUUGGGGUUGAAACAACCUCAACCUAUUCUCAAACUUUAAAUGGGUAAGACGGUCGGCUUGCUCGACUGAAGUCGGCCAGGCGAAUGCCGGGGCUCCUAGUGGGCCAUUUUUGGUAAGCAGGACUGGCGAUGCGGGAUGAACCGAACGCCGGGUUAAGGUGCCGGAGUCGACGCUCAUCAGAUCCCAGAAAAGGUGUUGGUUGAUCUAGACAGCAGGACGGUGGCCAUGGAAGUCGGAAUCCGCUAAGGAGUGUGUAACAACUCACCUGCCGAAUCAACUAGCCCUGAAAAUGGAUGGCGCUGA